AACACAUGCAAGUCGAACGAGACCUUCGGGUCUAGUGGCGCACGGGUGCGUAACGCGUGGGAAUCUGCCCCUUGGUUCGGGAUAACAGUUGGAAACGACUGCUAAUACCGGAUGACGACUUCGGUCCAAAGAUUUAUCGCCCAGGGAUGAGCCCGCGUAGGAUUAGCUUGUUGGUGAGGUAAAGGCUCACCAAGGCGACGAUCCUUAGCUGGUCUGAGAGGAUGAUCAGCCACACUGGGACUGAGACACGGCCCAGACUCCUACGGGAGGCAGCAGUGGGGAAUAUUGGACAAUGGGCGAAAGCCUGAUCCAGCAAUGCCGCGUGAGUGAUGAAGGCCUUAGGGUUGUAAAGCUCUUUUACCCGGGAUGAUAAUGACAGUACCGGGAGAAUAAGC
Molecule: ribosomal RNA, 395 nt
Filed under: grassland soil clone saf3_114
Lineage: Bacteria
Description: bacterial SSU rRNA
Rfam family: Bacterial small subunit ribosomal RNA
Source: RNAcentral